This 1036-nucleotide long non-coding RNA is filed under the name Mus spicilegus (steppe mouse). Its description in RNAcentral is "lncRNA (ENSMSIG00000010917.1)". Lineage: Eukaryota; Metazoa; Chordata; Mammalia; Rodentia; Muridae. The record is from RNAcentral.
GUGGGAAGCCACAUGUGCCGUUGCUGAGUGGCACUGACUACUGCUGGCCACCACGCAUAAGAUUGGACAAACAACCAAUGUGUACAUAUGCAGUAAAGUUUUUUGCAAAGACACUGCCUGGCCCAGGCAUGAUAAUGAGGUUCUGUAAGGUACUGAGAGUAUAACCAAUCAGAUGUGAGACAUGCAAAUGAGGUAUGAUAAUGAGGUUCUGUAAGGUACUGAGAGAGAGUAGCCAAUCAGAUGAGGAACAUGCAAAUGAGGCUUAGUGCAUAACCAAUCCGGGUGUGAGACACGCCCCUCCUAGGCCUAUAAAAGCAGCACCAGUUCUGGGCUCGAAGUCUUUUCGCCUCUACAAUCAAGCUCUCCCAAUAAACGUGUGCAGAAGGAUCCUGUUGCAGCGUUGUUCUUCCUGGCCAGUCGAGCGCGCGCAAGACCUUAUUUAAGAAUCCAUCAUCAUUUCUUCUGGGAAGCCUUCGAUCCCAAUAGUCUAGCAUUGUUUUCUCUGGGAAGUCUUACCUGAUCCCAUGAAUCUGACUUCUGGCACGUACCUCCUUUGGCCAACUAUGUAGCCGAGUUUUUGGUGGGAGACCUCCAGGGACGACAUGGAAGAUGGCGAAGGCUUACUGGAGCAGAACCUUGUGAGUCAGAGGAAAGUCAUGAGGAUCGCUGGGCCUCCCCAGGUUUCGCUGGGGCUCCUGAGGUCAACACUCAGGAUACAAUCCUUCCACCACUGACUCUGCACCUGGAGUGCCUCCCCCUUUCCAUCUGGCAGCCGCUCUUCUUGGCAAAGUGGGCCGUGAGAGGUCAGUAUGUGUACGGUAUGCUCAAGUCACAUCAAGGAGUCACAAAAGACACGUGUUGAUGGAAGACACGGAACUGGGAACACAGAGCAGGUAAGGAAUAACCUUUACCCCUCUACAUCCCUCAGAACAGCAACUCCAAGCAGAAUGGUCCUCAGCUGAGUUCAAACUGGAGCCACGUGUAAUACUGAUACCAUAGCUUGCUUUCUGGAGAAAAAUCAAAUGGCAAAGUGUGU